This 1576-nucleotide long non-coding RNA is filed under the name Sus scrofa (pig). RNAcentral describes it as "lncRNA (ENSSSCG00000050676.1)". The record is from RNAcentral. Lineage: Eukaryota; Metazoa; Chordata; Mammalia; Artiodactyla; Suidae.
CCCCCAGGGUCCCCCCGCCCUCCCCCCAGGUCCCUUUCGACCCCUUGCCAUCAUUUCUCCCGUUGAUUUGCAGAACCGUCUAGUCUGAGGAGGAUAUAAUCCCUGGUCAGCUUGAGACUCCGUAGCAGCUGUCCGCCGGCCUGGUCUACGCCACCCUCUCCUAACAGCCAUUCUGCACUCGGAUGCGUGUCAGCUGACGAGGCUGUGGUUUCUCACCUUCUCCAGUAACGACACACUCCUGAGUGAGUGAAGAAACCCUUCCCCGGGCCCAGCCCACCCGUCCAGGCACAUCCCCUGCCGGCUUUGCAUGCAAACAAGUUUCCCCGUUACCGGAGGUCCCGCUGGCUCUGCGUCACAAGGCGAGGACCUCGGGCUGGUCCCCCAGGCCUGGGGGAGCCGGUGUCUGGGACUCCCCAAAGCGGCGGGGAGAAGACGGCAGCUCCUGGCGUUUCCCACCCUUGAGGUGGCUCGUCCUUGUCACAAGCUGACCUGCAGCUGCUCUGGCUUUGCUCAGCCGGGCGCCCCGAGCCGCAGCCUGCUGGGCGUGAGGUCAGGCGGCCAGUCUCCCUCCGGGAUGUGAGUGGCAGCGCUGGGCCACCCAAACCCCCUCCUUGCAGGUCGGCUCUUCCAGAAGCUACAUGCUGAGGACGGCCGAGCCUCAGGCCACUCAAGCCGGUCUCUGCUCCUCUUGGGAGAGACAAGCCCACAGCCGAGAGCUCCCUCUUGGGACCUUUCCUAAACAGGAAAUUCUCCUCUACUGAGCUCUUCCACUGAGCUCGGGGGGCUGCCCCAGCAGCUGGCCUCCCCGACGGGUACCCCACAGUAUGGAUGACAAAGCUGUGGCCCAGAGAGGUUGAGGAACUGGCUUAAGUCACACAGCCAGGACGUGGGGGCACAGAGAUGGAAUCCAGACAGAAUAGGACAACUCUGCCCUUUGUGGGUAUAGGCCAUCUACCCAAAGCCUCAGCGGCUGACCCCCUCAAGCCGGCCUCGUGUUUGGUUUAAGCUGAUGGCGGCGAGAGUCGCGCUCUGAUGACCUUUGUGUGACAGCGAUCAUUCCAGCCGGUGGCUCUGCCCAAAAGAGCCGUGGAGGUUGGUGGUUUCUGCGUCCACCCCUUCAAGUGGCCCCUAGGUGCCUGAGGACUUUGAGGCUCCUGGUGGCUCUGGCUUUGCAGCUGGGCUGGCUGGCCUUGGGGCAUGUUUCGGGUCCCCGCUUCCCAUCUGCGAAAGGGGUUCCAGCCGCAUCUCCCAUCAAAGGCCAGGGGGGUGGCGCUCGGCUACGGGGGGCCACGGGCCAGGGUACAGAGGGACAGGCCAAGGUCGGCUCUUUCACCACUGAUGACACGGAGACCCGAGAGGCCUGUCCUGAUGCCAGAAGGGACCUUGGGAGGACGGGGGAGGGGCGUGUGUGUGCGAUUUGGAGAUAUUUUCCGCAAGGUCCCCGCUGAUGCCGAGUCCCAGAAAAGAAAAUAAGGACACACAGCAUCGCCUCUGAAAUGAGGGGAAGAGAAAUAGGGAAAGUAGAUUGAUGCUUUAAGGAAAUGUUUAAAAAUAGAAAACUAAUAAACCAUUAAUU